AUUUGAUACUCUCUAACUCUCACACUCUCUUAGUCUCUCAGACUCACUCACUAGUCCCUAUAAGCACUUCCCCACUCAGCCACACUUGCUUUUCCCGUUUCUCUUUCUCUCUUUCUUUCCUUCUCUCUUUAUUUAUUUUUUUCUAUUGUGGGUGCAGAGAUUAUUAAUGGGAUUUUCUCAAAUGUUGUGUCUUUCUUUAUGAAAUGGUUGUGGUCACUCAAAUCAACCACCAAAACAGCAAUUUCUGGCCGUCCAAUGAUGAAGUUUGAAAGUGAGUAUACUGUGGAGACUGUGUUUGAUGGAAGUAAGCUUGGUAUUGAGCCUUACUCGGCUGAGGUGUUGCCUGGUGGAGAGCUUUUGGUUUUGGACUCUGCUAAUAGUAACCUCUAUAGGAUCUCUGCCUCUCUUUCUCUAUGAUAUGAUAAUUUUUUGCAGAAAGGUGCUGCAAGCUGCUUGUGGCUUGCAUCAAAGCUGGAGGAAAGCCCAAGGAAAGCAAGACAAGUCCUUAAUGCUUUCCACAAAAUAGAAUGUAGGAUGCAGAACUUACCGAUAGAGCAUUUGGAGAUUAAUUCACAGAAAUAUCAUGACCUCAAGACUGACUUGAGCAGAACAGAAAGAUAUAUGUUCAAAGAGAUGGGAUUUGUUUGUCAUGUUGAACAUCCUCAUAAAUUCAUAUCUAACUACCUUGCCAUCCUCAAAACACCUCCAGAACUGAGGCUGGAAGCUUGGAAUCUAGCAAAUGAUAGGCAAGUGCCCAGCCAUUUCUUGUGCUUGGUCUUUUGGUGACUACUUUAGCAACCAGCCAUUGAAUUUUCAAUUGGGGCUUUAUAAAAUGACGCUGUGGAGAGUACUGCUCAACAAGUUCAAGAAUCAAUGCUGCAGAUUUGGGCUUGCAAUAGUAUAGGAUCUUUUUGUGAUGAAUAGGAUCUUUUUGUCUUAUGAUCAUUGAUCUUUAGUUAAGGCAUAUUUGAUGCUAAGCACUGGUCUCUUCAUGUCCAUGAAUGAAAUGCCAACUUUUAAUUUUA
Long non-coding RNA from Quercus robur (English oak), 1025 nucleotides. RefSeq lists it as uncharacterized. Lineage: Eukaryota; Viridiplantae; Streptophyta; Magnoliopsida; Fagales; Fagaceae. The record is from RefSeq and is a predicted model, not a curated record. The transcript has 6 exons.